This is an RNA transcript of Cryptomeria japonica (Japanese cedar), 1259 nucleotides long. It is a transcript of the gene named kinetochore protein SPC25 homolog, with no coding region annotated. The record is from RefSeq and is a predicted model, not a curated record. Lineage: Eukaryota; Viridiplantae; Streptophyta; Pinopsida; Cupressales; Cupressaceae. The transcript is spliced from 7 exons.
UCCAAAAUUUGGGCAUUGCGCUGUUACAUUAUAAAAUAUAUUUUUCCCUCCACUUACAAAGUUCAAAAUUUUCCUCUAUGAGAAAAACCAUAAUUUUUCCAUCGAUCGGAAAUGAAUUAUCAAAGAAUUUACAGAGACAUGGAAGAAGUGCGUCGAAGACUAGAUCGCUGGGAGUCCACCUGCAUCCAUUCCUUGGAACGCUGUAAAUACACAGCUCGCGAUAUUGCUCAUUAUAUAGGAAAGAUUAAAGAACUUGAAACACUUAAUGGCAAGUUGGAGCAGACUUAUCUUCACACAAAGGCGGUGAAUGGAAACAAACGUGAGCAAUGGCUGGUUAAUGCUGAGUCACUUUCUUCCACUAAGUCCACAAUUGAAGACCUUAAGAAGAUGAAGCAAGAAUUGAGUGCAAGGAGGUGUGAGCGUGAAAUGAUAAUAUCUGAUCAGUUGACUGGAGACAGUGAUAAGCCUGAUGUUGGAUUCAAGAGAGGGCAAAAGGAGGCUGUGGCAUGGUACAAUAGAGCACUUGGCUUUCGUAUUGAAUCUGGACAUGGCAUUAAAUUCAUAUUUGUCAAUGUUGAUCAAAUAUGUCCAGAUCGUGAGUUUUCAUUCAGCAUCCGUCAUUGCAGAAGUAACGACUGCUACAGCUGUAUGUUGAUACUAAUUGCAGUUAAUUGUUUCUAUAGUUAUUGGAUUGUGACCCCAUCUUUGAAGGUACUGAAGAAUUACUUGAUGAGUUGAAUCGGACUAAUGAUCUUUUCAAAUUUGUAAGGGUUAUGAGGGGAAAGUUUCAAGAACACUCAUCGAAGGGUUGAACACUGGUUUUUGUUAGGGGGCAAGUCUUAUUAAUCCCUCAUCAAAAUGAAAAAGGGUGCAGCCUGUAUGCUCAUUCUUACGUGGAAAUGGUGGCAAAUAGCUUUGUCAAUGGACAAGGUUGGUAAUUUCUUAAUAUCUCUGAGGUGGGAGAUAGAUGCCUUUGGUACAGUGUUUCCAUUAAGGGUUGUGCAUAAUAACUAAAUUGAAAUAUGGUACAAAAUGAGAAAACCUAGCAGAACAUGGCAGUGACACAUGUUAGAAGCCAACGUUAUGUAAAAUGCAGUAUUUUACAAAAGCCUUUGCAAAUAAGCAAGUCCUCAAAAGAAACAUUCAUGUCCAAAAAUAUGUUAUAGUGAAAGGACUGAAUGUGUAUUUCAAUUUUGUCUUAGCCUUGCUAUUACUUUUUUGCAUUCUCGGAAUAAAAUUACAUCUUUUCAUUUCUUUAA